Molecule: non-coding RNA, 181 nt
Filed under: Chitinophaga eiseniae
Lineage: Bacteria; Pseudomonadati; Bacteroidota; Chitinophagia; Chitinophagales; Chitinophagaceae
Source: RNAcentral
UUCUUAUCAGCCGGAUAAGGUUUUACUGCACGUAAAUUAAUAGGGAAUUGUGUGUAAAUCACAAGCUGUCCCGCAACUGUAAGUAACUAAAAGGUUUUGCCAAUCAAUGUCCACUGCCGCAAGGUGGGAAGGACGGCAAAAUGUUACAAGCCAGGAGACCUGCCUUACCGGAUUUGACAGU